GCGGGCCCACAACACUGUGCACACGCGGCGCCGGGGCGCGGGGUGGAGCGCACCGCCGCCUCCCUCUGCCCGCGCCCUCCCCACCGCCGACCCCCAGCUCGGGCGCCGCUGCCCCCGCCGGCCCGCCUCGCGGACGCCCGGCCCCCCCGCCUCCCGCAAGCUCUCCGGAGCCCCCGUUCCUUUGUCGCCGUGAAUGCCCCUCCUCGGCUGGAGGGCCCCGGGCGGAAUCGCGGCGGACUCGACGCGCCCCGGAGGGCGGGCAGGGUGCUCCCGCCCGGUCCCCCCACUCCCCGACUCCUUGGAGCGCCAGGCGACGCGCCGCCGGCCGAAAUGAGGGGGCGGGGCGGGGCGGGGGGUGGGGGCUUUCUUCCGAGACCACUAUUUACCUUGAGGCUCCUGUGACCCCGCGGUGACCCACCCGCUUCAGCGUCUGCAACUCCAACAUCAGCAAUUCAGAUCGUUUUAUUCCUUAAAAUUCUGCAGCCCAAGCAAUCUUAACGCGAAGUUACGAACAAUAACACUGAGAAGGCCGGCGCGGAGCGCGGGCACCUCAGCCCAGGAGGGAAAAGCAGCGCCGCAAGGAGUUACCUGCGUGGCGACAGGCGACAGUUUAGAGGAACAGGGGCCAGGUCAAGAAAAGUAACUGACGGGCCACUCUUGUCUCAGUUAUGGCAGGAAUCUUCGUGUUCCUCACAACUGUGUGUCAUUGUGUUGAAAGAAUGGCAAAUGUCAGCAAAGACGCAGGCCCACGUCUGUCCCAAACGAUGGUGGAUUUAUUUUUGCCAGCUUGUCUAGGGUGUGUGGAAGCAGGCGACAGCUCCCUGAGCUCAAGUAGAGCUUCAGCACGUAAAGCAGGAAGCGCUGGGGACCGUCUACCUGCCAUUUCAAAAUAAGGAACCAGGACAGAGAUUCAUCUGCUUUCCAGGAUCCCUGCACUGUCCACUGCCCCAGGCACUGGACUGUCAUGCAAAACAUGGUAUCAAAUCAGAAAUGAGGGAUCCCGUCCAAGAUUGUAUUCAUCAAUUCUGACGGCGUUCAAAGGAGAGUCCACCUUUCCUGCAGGUGUGUCUCCAUGUACAAAGAGAGAAGCUUCUACAGUUGCAGAAGUAAAACUGCUGGAGAGCCUCUUUUGAAGUAGGACAUAAAUAUCCCACCAGGGUUCGUGAUCAUUGUGUGAACAAUUGAAGGCGGCGAUGAACUGCUUCCUCCGAGGGGAGAGCCUUCUGAUUCGGCCGGAAGGACGGCAGGGGCUUUGGGAUGGGACCGUCUCAUGGUGGACUUUUCCACACAUUCAACUAUGAUUCGGAUUUCGCAUGCGCAUUGUCUGAGAAGCCUAGUCAAAUGGAGAAAAAUAAUAGAGGCUUCGUCUAAUUCCAUAAAGAUUAUUUCCACUAACUCAGCUAAAUUUGAGAUAGACGCAAAUUAUAUAGCCAUAUUUUUCCAUGUUAAUCAUAAAACAUUUUCCAAAAGGAAAGAUAUAUUUUUUUCUUUUUAGGGCCCCACCCUCAGCAUGUGGAAUUUCCC
This is a long non-coding RNA of Sus scrofa (pig), 1524 nucleotides long. RefSeq lists it as uncharacterized. NCBI's taxonomy places the organism in Eukaryota, Metazoa, Chordata, Mammalia, Artiodactyla, Suidae. The record is from RefSeq and is a predicted model, not a curated record.